RNA transcript from Scylla paramamosain (green mud crab), 1652 nucleotides. RefSeq lists it as uncharacterized. NCBI's taxonomy places the organism in Eukaryota, Metazoa, Arthropoda, Malacostraca, Decapoda, Portunidae. The record is from RefSeq and is a predicted model, not a curated record. The transcript has 2 exons.
CGUGCCGCUGCGGGACUGUCUGAGAGCGUCGGCCGGCCAGGGGUCAGCCAGGGUCGGCAGAUGAUGAGUGGAGGACGACUGCUGAGGUUGGUCGGGACUUCUUGAUGAGGUAGGGAUGUGUAUACUUAUGUCUCUCUCUCUCUCUCUCUCUCUCUCUGGUCCCCAUUACCUGUGUCCCUCCUCUUUCCCCCGCCCACACCGUCCAUCACAGAGUACUCUCUCGACGAUGGAAGGACAAAUUUACUCUUUAACGUGACUUGCUUAUGUUAAUUCUCUCUCUCUCUCUCUCUCUCUCUCUCUCUCUCUCUCUCUCUCUCUCUCUCUCUCGUUGUAACUUGGCUUGGGCAGCAGUGACGGCCUGCAGGAGACGAACGCUCGCGGGGGUCCAGUUAGAGUUUGCAGUUGCCAGUUUUGUGUUUGAGUGGGAGAGUGGACGGUGUAUUACUCCAUGCUACUGUGUUCAUGUCUCCAGAGUAAUAAACCGUCGGAUUGGUGACGAAGACGACCACUGGGCAUUUGGGAGGCGUGGACAACCUGUGGUGCGCCCAGACGUGAUGCUCAAGCUUCCAGGGGUCGCCCGCCGGGAUGAGGACGGAGAAGCCGCGCCAGCCUCAGUCGUGGUCUGGCAGUGUAAGGGGACGGACGUCGGCCGCUCUUCCGUGGCACACGCGAUAGUCAUCCCCGAGUGUUUCCUCAGUGUUGGCGAGUGUGUUCGUUCGUCGGGCGUGUGGCUGCCGGCGCGUCGGGUUACUGUGCGAUCCCGUGUGCGGCGGGAGGUGCGUGUGGGGUGCCGGGAGGCGGUGGCCAGGAAGGGACACAUGCCCGACGGUCCUGUGGUCAUGGUGGUGGAGGGCAGUUUGGUCUAGGCCGCAGCCCAGAGUUGAAGUCGCUCCCCCAGGAUGACGGAGAAGGUGGCGGCGGCGGGGAGCCCCAAGAGGGACGCUAGCUGCUCCCCCACCCUGGCCACGGGCAGCCCCGGGGGCAGCCGAGUUCUGCCCUGGCUGACCGCCCUCGUCCUGUUCAGCGUGGCCUCCUGGUGCUUCCUGGCCUGGCGACACAUUCACCUCGAGUGGAGGGUGGACCGAUUGGAGGGUGAGCUGGAAGCACGCCUCGAGCAGCGCCUCCAGCAGCUGGGACUUAAGUCUCAAGUCCCGCCCGCACCCGCGCCUACCCACAUCCGCGUGGCGAGGGACGUGGCCGCUGACAACUGCAUCUGUCCCCCAGGUAAGAGCCGAGUCUUCUCUCACAUCCAGCCGACACAGGUGAGAGAGAGAGAGAGAGAGAGAGAGAGAGAGAGAGAGAGAGAGAGAGAGAGAGAGAAUGAUAUAUGAAGUAAACAAAUCUCACGUCCUUCUCUUCCCUCCUUCCUCUCUCUCCCCUCCUCCCUGCCCUCCACAAACUACCGCAGGCCCCUUACGUGAUCCACAGAGCCGUAACGAGAGCUGAGGAUCGCCGGUUGUUAUGACGCCGGAUUAACGCCAGGGGAGGGGAGGGGAGGGGAGAGAGGGAGGGAGGGAGAGAAAAAGGGAGAGGAGGGGAGUGAGGUGAGGAUAGGGAGGAUAGACAAGGCACUGAUGGAGAGGAAGGGAGGUGAUGAGAUGAAGGAUGGUUAAGGGAGGAGAGAGGAGGAGGAGGAGGAGGAGGGGGAGGAG